RNAcentral lists this ribosomal RNA (438 nucleotides) under uncultured bacterium. RNAcentral's name for it is "bacterial SSU rRNA". It matches the Rfam family "Bacterial small subunit ribosomal RNA", at positions 340 to 773 of the family's 1533-position model. The record is from RNAcentral.
UACGGAAGGCAGCAGUGGGGAAUAUUGCACAAUGGGCGCAAGCCUGAUGCAGCCAUGCCGCGUGUAUGAAGAAGGCCUUCGGGUUGUAAAGUACUUUCAGUCGUGAGGAAGGUGUUAAGGUUAAUAACCUUAGCAAUUGACGUUAGCGACAGAAGAAGCACCGGCUAACUCCGUGCCAGCAGCCGCGGUAAUACGGAGGGUGCGAGCGUUAAUCGGAAUUACUGGGCGUAAAGGGCACGCAGGCGGUUAAUUAAGUUGGAUGUGAAAUCCCCGGGCUUAACCUGGGAAUGGCAUUCAAGACUGGUUAGCUAGAGUCUUGUAGAGGGGGUAGAAUUCCAUGUGUAGCGGUGAAAUGCGUAGAGAUGUGGAGGAUACCGGUGGCGAAGGCGGCCCCUGGACAAAGACUGACGCUCAUGUGCGAAAGCGUGGGGAGCAAAC